AUGGUAGGAUAGAGGCCUACCAUGGUGGUAACGGGUAACGGGGUGUUAGGGCACGACACCGGAGAGGGAGCCUGAGAAACGGCUACCACAUCCAAGGAAGGCAGCAGGCGCGCAAAUUACCCAAUCCCGACACGGGGAGGUAGUGACAAUAAAUAACAAUACAGGGUUCUUUGAAUCUUGUAAUUGGAAUGAGUACAAUUUAAAUCUCUUAACGAGGAACAAUUGGAGGGCAAGUCUGGUGCCAGCAGCCGCGGUAAUUCCAGCUCCAAUAGCGUAUAUUAAAGUUGUUGCAGUUAAAAAGCUCGUAGUUGAAUUUCGGGAUCAAUACGUCGGUCGUGCUUUCGGGUACGUACUGGCGUCAUUGGUUUCUCCUUUCUGACGAACCAUGAUGUCAUUAAUUUGGUGUUAUGGGGAGUUAGGACUGUUACUUUGAAAAAAUUAGAGUGUUUAAAGCAGGCAUUAGCUUGAAUACAUUAGCAUGGAAUAAUGAAAUAGGACGUUCGAUCCUAUUUUGUUGGUUUCUAGGAUCAACGUAAUGAUUAAUAGGGAUAGUUGGGGGCAUUAGUAUUCAAUUGUCAGAGGUGAAAUUCUUGGAUUUAUUGAAGACUAACUACUGCGAAAGCAUUUGCCAAGGAUGUUUUCAUUAAUCAAGAACGAAGGUUAGGGGAUCGAAGACGAUCAGAUACCGUCGUAGUCUUAACCAUAAACUAUGCCGACUAGGGAUCGGAUGAUGCUAAUUUUUUAAUGACUCAUUCGGCGCCUUACGGGAAACCAAAGUGUUUGGG
This 785-nucleotide ribosomal RNA is filed under the name uncultured Glomus. Its description in RNAcentral is "SSU rRNA". It matches the Rfam family "Eukaryotic small subunit ribosomal RNA", at positions 325 to 1111 of the family's 1831-position model. The record is from RNAcentral. Lineage: Eukaryota; Fungi; Glomeromycota; Glomeromycetes; Glomerales; Glomeraceae.